AGAGAGAGACAUGCGCGCAUAUCAAUAAGCGGAGGAAAAGAAACUAACAAGGAUUCCCUUAGUAACGGCGAGUGAAGCGGGAAGAGCUCAAAUUUGAAAUCUUCAAGGUUCUACCUUGACGAAUUGUAGUUUAUAGAAGUGUUUUCUGUUAGUGGAGUGGCAAAAGUUCUUUGGAAUAGGACAUCAUAGAGGGUGAGAAUCCCGUAUUUGGUCAUUCCUCCUAGCGUUGUGAUACACUUUCAACGAGUCGGAUUGUUUGGGAAUGCAGUCUAAAAUGGGUGGUAAAUUUCAUCUAAAGCUAAAUAUUGGCGAGAGACCGAUAGCGAACAAGUACCGUGAGGGAAAGAUGAAAAGAACUUUGAAAAGAGAGUUAAACAGUACGUGAAAUUGUCAAAAGGGAAGCGUUUGACACCAGUGUUGUUUUUCCGAAAAUCAAUUACGAAUGUUUUGUUUUUGAGGAGUUAUGACUUCAUCGGCUUGCUCCUUUCUUUACGAAACUUUCUUAAUGCACUUUUCGGUUAACAAGUCAACAUCAAUUUCUUUUGUUGUAAAAGGGUAUGAGGAAGGUGGCUUUCUUUUCGGAGAAAGUGUUUAUAGCCUUGUACCUCUGCAAUCGGAGAGAUUGAGGUCUGCAGCGUAGAUCCUUCGGGGUUAGAUACAUUUGUGCUAAGUUAUAGCUUUUCAUAGACAACUUGUUGACUAUGUUUAGUCUUGUAGCUUACUCGCUUAUGCUACUUUACCUACGCUUAGGAUGUUGAUCUGUAGUGCGUGCGC
Molecule: ribosomal RNA, 774 nt
Filed under: uncultured Neocallimastigales
Lineage: Eukaryota; Fungi; Neocallimastigomycota; Neocallimastigomycetes; Neocallimastigales
Description: partial large subunit ribosomal RNA
Rfam family: Eukaryotic large subunit ribosomal RNA
Source: RNAcentral